GUGGGGAAUUUUGGACAAUGGGCGCAAGCCUGAUCCAGCAAUGCCGCGUGCAGGAAGAAGGCCUUCGGGUUGUAAACUGCUUUUGUACGGAACGAAACGGUCCGGGUUAAUACCCUGGGCUAAUGACGGUACCGUAAGAAUAAGCACCGGCUAACUACGUGCCAGCAGCCGCGGUAAUACGUAGGGUGCAAGCGUUAAUCGGAAUUACUGGGCGUAAAGCGUGCGCAGGCGGUUUUGUAAGACAGGCGUGAAAUCCCCGGGCUCAACCUGGGAAUUGGGCGUGGGACUGCAAGGCUGGAGUGCGGCAGAGGGGGAUGGAAUUCCGCGUGUAGCAGUGAAAUGCGUAGAUAUGCGGAGGAACACCGAUGGCGAAGGCAAUCCCCUGGGCCUGCACUGACGCUCAUGCACGAAAGCGUGGGGAGCAAACAGGAUUAGAUACCCCAGUAGUCC
This 450-nucleotide ribosomal RNA is filed under the name uncultured bacterium. RNAcentral describes it as "partial 16S ribosomal RNA". It matches the Rfam family "Bacterial small subunit ribosomal RNA", at positions 354 to 796 of the family's 1533-position model. The record is from RNAcentral.